Molecule: ribosomal RNA, 498 nt
Filed under: uncultured bacterium
Lineage: Bacteria
Description: partial 16S ribosomal RNA
Rfam family: Bacterial small subunit ribosomal RNA
Source: RNAcentral
AUUGAACGCUGGCGGCAUGCCUUACACAUGCAAGUCGAACGGUAACAGGUCUUCGGAUGCUGACGAGUGGCGAACGGGUGAGUAAUACAUCGGAACGUGCCUAGUAGUGGGGGAUAACUACUCGAAAGAGUGGCUAAUACCGCAUGAGAUCUACGGAUGAAAGCAGGGGAUCGCAAGACCUCGUGCUACUAGAGCGGCCGAUGGCAGAUUAGGUAGUUGGUGGGAUAAAAGCUUACCAAGCCGACGAUCUGUAGCUGGUCUGAGAGGACGAUCAGCCACACUGGGACUGAGACACGGCCCAGACUUCUACGGGAGGCAGCAGUGGGGAAGUUUGGACAAUGGGCGAAAGCCUGAUCCAGCAAUGCCGCGUGCAGGAUGAAGGCCUUCGGGUUGUAAACUGCUUUUGUACGGAACGAAAAGCCCCGGGUUAAUACCCUGGGGUCAUGACGGUACCUGCAGAAAAAGCACCGGCUAACUACGUGCCAGCCGCCGCAGUAA